UGCCUCACUCCAAAAAGAGAAUUGAGACACCCCUCUGUCUCUCGUGCCCGUGCAAAAUGGAGGGGAAGGGCCAAGGGGUAGAAUUGAGAUUCAGCAGUGUGGCUUAUAUACUAAAAAAUACCAAUUUUAACACCAGUACCUUCCGAUAUGAUACACAUGUACUUCUUUAAUCAAUCAAUCAAUCAAUUUUUUUUAUAUAGUGCCAAAUCACAACAAACAGUUGCCCCAAGGCGCUUUAUAUUGUAAGGCAAGGCCAUACAAUAAUUAUGUAAAACCCCAACGGUCAAAACGACCCCCUGUGAGCAAGCACUUGGCUACAGUGGGAAGUCUUUAGUCAUUAAAAUUGGGUCAUAAUGAUAAGAAGACAUCAUGUAGCUGUUUACACAACAACAGGGUGUUUUUCUGACCUGGUUUCUUGGUGUCUGAACGUCUGGUCCAGGUGGAUUUGAAUCAGCUCCAAGUCCACGUCUUCUAGACACAACUGCAGCUCUGGCACCAAUCCAGAUUCAGCAUUUGGGUCAGAAUUGUACCAGUUCUGGCCUAGAUGAGUAUAUUUUGUCUGGAUGUGUGGACUAUGUGUGCGACUGCCACAAAGAUAACCCCUCUGGAGGUGGAUCUGGCCCAAAGUCAGCUGCUGUGCAUGUACUUUAUAUGGUUAAAUGUUGUGGCUGCGUUAAGGGGUGGUGCCACAGAACUGUCACAUAUUUUUACCAUUAAAGAAAUAGAGCAUUUUAGACUUUGUAGAGGAAUUUUAGAUUGUUUUACCUAAAUAAAAUAGCGUCAAAAAAUCCACGCACACAAACAAGAGUGGGUUUAAAUCCUGAAACGUGUGUCAAGUCUUUCCAGGAGGUGAUGUGAAGUUUUUCUAACACUGAAGCACUCAAAACUUCCCACAAUCUUUUUAAAUCUCAUUGCAUUGUAUUUGAAGCUAGAGAAGGAAACGGAGGCAAAACAGUCUCUAAAUGCUCCAAAUGCCGAAUGUCACCUUUGAUUUGACGUGACGAUAAAAUAAGCAAACCUUCAAAGACAUCCACGUAUUUUUGGACUAAAGUGCGUUUUGGUCGUGGACCGACGGCGUCAUGUUGUUCCUGCUGUUGUGACGUGACUCAGGACCAAACUCUUCUUAGACUUACUGUACAGAAUUCCUGAAUACUGUAUGUGGACACUUUGCACAUUUAAAUACUGUGUGAUGUCAGGAACAGUAUUCAAAUAAACCACAUGCAGAGACACGCCUCAGUAAUUCUUAUAUAUUCCUUCAUACCAACAUCAGCGCAGUUGGAAUAAAGUGAUGCGCUCCAACUUUUCCUUUUCUUUCAAACCACACAACACUUCCAACAAAAGAAAAUAGUCCUUCCCUGUUUUUAGAAAGCACAACCAUCACAGGAUCACAGGAACGUUGGAAAUGGCUGAAUGCAGCUUUAUAGUUUUUGCAUCGUUUUCCACGAACAUCAGAGCAAACCAAAAAAACCUAUCUGAGGUUUCAGUAUUAAAGCUGCAAUAUAUGAGAGGGAAAAAAACUCAGGUUAUUAUAAGAAGCUGAAUAUUUUUAUUACAAUUCUGUUUAUUGGGGCCCUUUUAAAAAAAUUGUAAUUAAAAUGUUUAAGAGUUGCUAUUGAAGUCCAACUUCAAAGUCAAAAUAUUUCAAGUAAAUAAAUCAUUGUGCUGUGGGAAUAAAGACCAAAUAUGUUUUACUAACUUAGAAUUUUUACACAGUAACGCCUAUUUUUUUUUUUUUUUUUUUUUAAUGGCUUUGAAAAGGAAACGUUUAAAUAUGAGAUAAAAGGUCUUUCUGCAGUUAAAGUUGUACUGACCUUUUUAUGAAAGACUGUCAUGUGGUCAUAAAACUAAACUUGUACUACUAUAAGAAUAAAGUAAUAUGAGGACAAUAAACCGUGUUAUUGUGAUACUACAUUCAUAAUAUUUGAAAAUUGCCAUUUUUCAGAGUAAAUUUCAUGGGAAAA
Molecule: long non-coding RNA, 1961 nt
Organism: Thalassophryne amazonica
Lineage: Eukaryota; Metazoa; Chordata; Actinopteri; Batrachoidiformes; Batrachoididae
Exons: 2
Source: RefSeq, a predicted model, not a curated record